AGGGUUUGAUUAUGGCUCAGGACGAACGCUGGCGGCGUGCCUAACACAUGCAAGUCGAGCGGGGAUUAUCGAAUGAAGUUUUCGGAUGGAAUUUGGUAAUUCUAGCGGCGGACGGGUGAGUAACGCGUGAGCAACCUGCCUUUCACAGGGGGAUAACGCAUCGAAAGGUGCACUAAUACCGCAUGAGACCACGCUCCCGACAUGAGAGAGGGGUCAAAGGAGCAAUCCGGUGAGAGAUGGGCUCGCGUCUGAUUAGCUGGUUGGUGAGGUAACGGCCCACCAAGGCGACGAUCAGUAGCCGACCUGAGAGGGUGAUCGGCCACAUUGGAACUGAGAGACGGUCCAA
Molecule: ribosomal RNA, 346 nt
Filed under: uncultured bacterium
Lineage: Bacteria
Description: bacterial SSU rRNA
Rfam family: Bacterial small subunit ribosomal RNA
Source: RNAcentral